UUCCGGUUGAUCCUGCCGGAGGUCACUGCUAUCGGAGUCCGACUAAGCCAUGCGAGUCCAGGGGCUUCGGCACCGGCGGACUGCUCAGUAACACGUGGACAACCUGCCCUCGGGAGGGGGAUAAUCCCGGGAAACUGGGCCUAAACCCCCAUAGGCCAUGGGUGCUGGAAGGCCCCGUGGCUGAAAUUCCGAAAGGAGCCCGAGGAUGGGUCUGCGGCCUAUCAGGUUGUAGUGGGGGUAACGGCCCCACUAGCCUACGACGGGUACGGGCCCUGAGAGGGGGAGCCCGGAGAUGGACUCUGAGACACGAGUCCAGGCCCUACGGGGCGCAGCAGGCGCGAAACCUCCGCAAUGCUCGAAAGAGCGCCGGGGGGACUCCGAGUGC
Molecule: ribosomal RNA, 385 nt
Filed under: uncultured archaeon
Lineage: Archaea
Description: bacterial SSU rRNA
Rfam family: Archaeal small subunit ribosomal RNA
Source: RNAcentral